AGUGAACGCUGGCGGUAGGCCUAACACAUGCAAGUCGAACGGCAGCACAGUAAGAGCUUGCUCUUACGGGUGGCGAGUGGCGACGGGUGAGGAAUACAUCGGAAUCUACUUUUUCGUGGGGGAUAACGUAGGGAAACUUACGCUAAUACCGCAUACGACCUACGGGUGAAAGCAGGGGAUCUUCGGACCUUGCGCGAUUGAAUGGGCCGAUGUCGGAUUAGCUAGUUGGCGGGGUAAAGGCCCACCAAGGCGACGAUCCGUAGCUGGUCUGAGAGGAUGAUCAGCCACACUGGAACUGAGACACGGUCCAGACUCCUACGGGAGGCAGCAGUGGGGAAUAUUGGACAAUGGGCGCAAGCCUGAUCCAGCCAUACCGCGUGGGUGAAGAAGGCCUUCGGGUUGUAAAGCCCUUUUGUUGGGAAAGAAAAGCAGCAGGUUAAUACCCCGCUGUUCUGACGGUACCCAAAGAAUAAGCACCGGCUAACUUCGUG
Molecule: ribosomal RNA, 491 nt
Filed under: uncultured bacterium
Lineage: Bacteria
Description: partial 16S ribosomal RNA
Rfam family: Bacterial small subunit ribosomal RNA
Source: RNAcentral